GCGCCCAUAGCUCAGUUGGAUAGAGUGACGGACUACGAAUCCGUGGGUCGCAGGUUCGAAUCCUGCUGGGCGCGCCA
RNAcentral lists this transfer RNA (77 nucleotides) under Deltaproteobacteria bacterium HGW-Deltaproteobacteria-15. RNAcentral's name for it is "tRNA-Arg". It matches the Rfam family "tRNA". Rfam says of the family: Transfer RNA (tRNA) molecules are approximately 80 nucleotides in length. Their secondary structure includes four short double-helical elements and three loops (D, anti-codon, and T loops). Lineage: Bacteria; Deltaproteobacteria. The record is from RNAcentral.